AGCUUUGGAGAGGGACCUGGCCGGAGACUGCCGGGCUUCAGGGAAAGAUCACCUUCCCAUCUCCUUUCCAGCCUUCCUUUCCGCUGAGAGCCACCCACCGCUCAAUACAGUCUUCCGCAUUCAUCACCUUUCAAACAGAAAUAAAACAUUAACCAAAAGAGCAUGGGCAGAUAUUUCCUGGAUCUGAACAGGAAUAUUUGUUGUCUGAACUCUAUGAAGAAUCUUCACGUGCAGUGAUAGAACAAUAAACACAUUUGAACCAAGUUCAUCAUGGAGAGAGUGAGUGGGUUGGGGAAAAGGUAUUUUAUGUUUGAGGAGUGAGGAGAAGGUGUCAAAUAAUCAUCCAGGCAGGCUUUUGUAGUGCCCAGUGGCCAGUGACCAGCAGCAUGUGUUUCCAUAGGCAUCUUCUCCCAGGACCCCAGAAGGUGAAUUGCCAGUGAGUCCUGCCAGCAGGCCCCUCAGUGACUGCACUGCUCAGUAAAAAGACAUCCCUCAACUAUGGUAAACAACAACAACAACAACAACAAAACAAAACAAAUAAAAAAAAACCCUGCAUCAAUUUGAUAAAUAAUCCUCCCCGUUCAUAUCACUGUUUUUUUUUUUUCUGCACAUCUUACUGGUAUUUAAAUGC
This is a non-coding RNA of Macaca mulatta (Rhesus monkey), 631 nucleotides long. The record is from RefSeq and is a predicted model, not a curated record. NCBI's taxonomy places the organism in Eukaryota, Metazoa, Chordata, Mammalia, Primates, Cercopithecidae.